AUUGAACGCUGGCGGAAUGCUUUACACAUGCAAGUCGAGCGGCAGCACGGGGGCAACCCUGGUGGCGAGCGGCGAACGGGUGAGUAACACAUCGGAACAUGCCCAGUCGUGGGGGAUAACACUUCGAAAGAAGUGCUAAUACCGCAUACGUCCUGAGGGAGAAAGCGGGGGAUCGCAAGACCUCGCGCGAUUGGAGUGGCCGAUGUCAGAUUAGCUAGUUGGUGGGGUAAAGGCCUACCAAGGCAACGAUCUGUAGCUGGUCUGAGAGGAUGAUCAGCCACACUGGGACUGAGACACGGCCCAGACUCCUACGGGAGGCAGCAGUGGGGAAUUUUGGACAAUGGGGGCAACCCUGAUCCAGCCAUUCCGCGUGAGUGAAGAAGGCCUUCGGGUUGUAAAGCUCUUUCGGCAGGAACGAAACGGUGAGCUCUAACAUAGCUUGCUAAUGACGGUACCUGAAAAAGAAGCACCGGCUAACUACGUG
Molecule: ribosomal RNA, 484 nt
Filed under: uncultured bacterium
Lineage: Bacteria
Description: partial 16S ribosomal RNA
Rfam family: Bacterial small subunit ribosomal RNA
Source: RNAcentral